ACGCUCGACACCUACGGGAGCAGCAGUCGGGAAUAUUGCGCAAUGGAGGAAACUCUGACGCAGUGACGCCGCGUGCAGGAAGAAGGUUUUCGGAUUGUAAACUGCUUUAGACAGGGAAGAAAGAAAUGACAGUACCUGUAGAAUAAGCUCCGGCUAACUACGUGCCAGCAGCCGCGGUAAUCUGAGCGGGCUGGCAAGGC
RNAcentral lists this ribosomal RNA (200 nucleotides) under uncultured bacterium. RNAcentral describes it as "partial 16S ribosomal RNA". It matches the Rfam family "Bacterial small subunit ribosomal RNA", at positions 328 to 539 of the family's 1533-position model. The record is from RNAcentral.